GAUGAAGAACGUAGCGAAAUGCGAUAAGUAAUGCGAAUUGCAGAAUUCCAGUGAGUCAUCGAAUCUUUGAACGCACAUUGCGCCCUUUGGUAUUCCGAAGGGCAUGCCUGUUCGAGCGUCAUUAUCACCCCUCAAGCCCUCGGCUUGGUGUUGGACGGUUUGGUGGAGGCCCCCUCGGGGGCUCCUGCCCCUCCCAAAGACAAUGACGGCGGCCUCGUUGGACCCCCGGUACACUGAGUUCUUCACGGGACACGUAUCGGACACAUGGGUUUACGGGACACGGUCUGCCUCCCCUCAGGGAGAAUCUUUCUAAGGUUGACCUCGGAUCAGGUAGGGAUACCCGCUGAACUUAAGCAUAUCAAUAAGCGGAGGU
This 373-nucleotide unclassified non-coding RNA is filed under the name soil metagenome. RNAcentral's name for it is "partial contains 5.8S ribosomal RNA, internal transcribed spacer 2, and large subunit ribosomal RNA". The stretch from base 1 to 121 matches the Rfam family "5.8S ribosomal RNA", at positions 35 to 154 of the family's 154-position model. The record is from RNAcentral.